Molecule: long non-coding RNA, 1161 nt
Filed under: Anser brachyrhynchus (Pink-footed goose)
Lineage: Eukaryota; Metazoa; Chordata; Aves; Anseriformes; Anatidae
Description: lncRNA (ENSABRG00000003042.1)
Source: RNAcentral
AUGAAAAUCAGUAAACAGAGCCAAGAGCCUAAAAUACAGAGCCUCGCGCACAGGCUGUCAGCACACAGAGCCCAGGGACAUCAACCCCUGCCCCAGCCAGGCGGGGACGGUGCCGCCCCUGCCUCUGCACAGGGGGAGCCACGGCAGCGACCAGAGGCUGCAGCAGUCUCAGGCUCCUCUGUCCUGCCCCUGCUGCUGAGAAGCCAGGGCCCUACCUUUCAGGGUGAAAACAAAGGCUUAACAACAACAACAGAAAGUUCUGACGCAGUAACUGUGAAAAAGGCUUGGCUUGAAGGCAGAAAGGAGGAAGGGAGGGAUGAACAAGCAGAGCGAAAAGAGGCAGGAACACAGGAUACUCGCAGAACCGCCCAGGCUCCCCUGCCCCUGUGCUGCUCAGCGGGGUCUCGGCAGCCCCCCCGCCCCUGCCGCGGGGCGCUGUGCUGUGCCCACCUCCUCCUCCAGCCCUGGGCACAGCGAGCAGCUCAGCGACGUGCAGCUCUCACGGCUCCGGCAAAAGCAAACACCUGCACAGACCGCAAAAAGCGAGACGGAAUGAAAGACUACAAGGAGCAAAAUCCUCGAGUCCGAGCUAGCACACAGACACGCUGUUCCCGGGAAGAGGAAAUGCCUGCCUUCCCCUCCCCAGAAGUGAAAAUCAAACUCCACGCUGAUGUCAAAGGCCAGCAGUUCCCACUCCAUCCUUGUCAUGUCCAGGUCACCAGACAGGCCUUUGGAGCCUCUUGUCUGGCGAGAGUCGUUCAUCCGACUGCAGCCAACGCUCUCCACCUCGACAUUAGAAAGCAAACACUGCGCCCGUCCAGAGAGGGAGGGCGGCUUGGCUUUCCCCGUCCGCGAAGCCACGGCCACCAGGGCCAGCCGGCAAACGCUCACCGCGUGCCCACAGCACGUCGCCCGCCCGGCCCGCGGAGGCCGUGGCUCAGGCGGCCGGCCCCGGGCAGCAGCCGUGGGGCCAGGCCCGGGCUCCACGCACCCAGGGCCCACGCGCUGCUCCCGGCGUCGCCCGCGCGGCAGGGUGGCACCCGGCCGCCACGUGCAGCGGUGCUGCUGCGGGGGGAGCGGGUGGGCAGGUCAGACACCCGAAAUGCGGAGAAUAAAGGCCUUUUGCUAAAGCUCCAGGAAGCAAAGAGAAAAAAACGCUAA